GUAGUCGUGGCAGGGUGGUUAAGGCGAUGUACUAGAAAUCCAUUGGGCUCUGCCCGGGCUGGUUCGAAUCCUGCCGACUACG
RNAcentral lists this transfer RNA (82 nucleotides) under Saccoglossus kowalevskii. RNAcentral's name for it is "tRNA-Ser". It matches the Rfam family "tRNA". Rfam says of the family: Transfer RNA (tRNA) molecules are approximately 80 nucleotides in length. Their secondary structure includes four short double-helical elements and three loops (D, anti-codon, and T loops). The record is from RNAcentral. Lineage: Eukaryota; Metazoa; Hemichordata; Enteropneusta; Harrimaniidae.